AGUGAACGCUGGCGGUAGGCCUAACACAUGCAAGUCGAACGGCAGCACAGUAAGGGCUUGCUCUUACGGGUGGCGAGUGGCAGACGGGUGAGGAAUACAUCGGAAUCUACUUUUUCGUGGGGGAUAACGUAGGGAAACUUACGCUAAUACCGCAUACGACCUACGGGUGAAAGCAGGGGAUCUUCGGACCUUGCGCGAUUGAAUGAGCCGAUGUCGGAUUAGCUAGUUGGCGGGGUAAAGGCCCACCAAGGCGACGAUCCGUAGCUGGUCUGAGAGGAUGAUCAGCCACACUGGAACUGAGACACGGUCCAGACUCCUACGGGAGGCAGCAGUGGGGAAUAUUGGACAAUGGGCGCAAGCCUGAUCCAGCCAUACCGCGUGGGUGAAGAAGGCCUUCGGGUUGUAAAGCCCUUUUGUUGGGAAAGAAAAGCAGCAGGUUAAUACCCCGCUGUUCUGACGGUACCCAAAGAAUAAGCACCGGCUAACUUCGUG
This 492-nucleotide ribosomal RNA is filed under the name uncultured bacterium. RNAcentral's name for it is "partial 16S ribosomal RNA". It matches the Rfam family "Bacterial small subunit ribosomal RNA", at positions 29 to 507 of the family's 1533-position model. The record is from RNAcentral.